CCUACGGGGGGCUGCAGUGGGGAAUAUUGGACAAUGGGCGCAAGCCUGAUCCAGCAAUGCCGCGUGUGUGAAGAAGGCCUUCGGGUUGUAAAGCACUUUUAUCAGGAGCGAAACGCUGUCGGCUAAUACCCGGCGGAACUGACGGUACCUGAGGAAUAAGCACCGGCUAACUUCGUGCCAGCAGCCGCGGUAAUACGAAGGGUGCAAGCGUUAAUCGGAAUUACUGGGCGUAAAGCGUGCGUAGGCGGUUUCUUAAGUCUGCUGUGAAAUCCCCG
RNAcentral lists this ribosomal RNA (275 nucleotides) under uncultured bacterium. Its description in RNAcentral is "partial 16S ribosomal RNA". It matches the Rfam family "Bacterial small subunit ribosomal RNA", at positions 338 to 605 of the family's 1533-position model. The record is from RNAcentral.